Non-coding RNA from Paramuricea clavata, 1239 nucleotides. The record is from the annotation of a GenBank genome assembly. Lineage: Eukaryota; Metazoa; Cnidaria; Anthozoa; Malacalcyonacea; Plexauridae.
CUCGAAUAUUUUGAGAACAUGAGUAACAGGAUAUGAAAAACCUGUAACCAUACGAUGUAUAAUACUAAAAACAUUUAGAAUAACGUGAUUUUCUCAUGUAAUUAUUUAAUAGCAAAGAUUUUUACCAUCUUUCCGCAGGUUUUGGUGGUGCAGGAGCUAUUGUGGAAGGUCCAGUGAUUGGUGUGAUAGUGGAUUAUUAUGGUUGGUCUGGAGCAUUUUAUUUCAUGGUUCUUCUCUCCAUUCUCGCUUCUCUUUCCUUAUUUAGAGCAUCGCGAGUUAAUUCCCCGUCAUGAUUUUUAUUCAAUGAGUAAAAUAUUCUAAAAUUUAAAAAUAUUUAUCCCUCAAUUAAAUUUGAACAAUCAAAUAUAGCCUAAUAGAGGGUGUCUCGAAACAACAUGCAAUAGCUGUGUCCUGAUUUUUACACAUGCAGCUAAUUAUUUCUACAAGGCAUCGAAAGUUUAAACUGGUCCAGUAAAUGAACCAAAAUGUUAUGGGUUUAAAAUAAAGUCUCGUUCACCCAACGGACCAUUAAUUAAAAUCAUGCAUCAUUUGUAUUUUUAAUAGGUAUAUCAAUAGGUUUGAUGAUUCCUUACUUUAAAAAGCUAUAAUAUUGGUUCUACUUCUACUAGACCAGUUUUAGUACUCAGUAGGGCCAAAAUUCAUCUCUUAGAUUGAAUUUGCAAUGCAUGCAUACUAUUAAAUAAUUAGCUGCGUAAAAAUCCAUUCUAUAUUUAUUCACCUACAGUAUUGCAUUUUUUUGGAACAUCCUAUAUACUAUUUAUAAAGUAACAUUAUAAUCUGUAAAAUUUGUUAGUUAUUAGUUGAAGUUUAUUGGACGUUUCGACUAUAGGUUUUAGUCAUUAUCAAUGAAAUCUAAAAUCGAUCUUCAGAGAUGGUGAUGACCGGACUAAAAUCUAGUGGGAACGUCCAAUAUUGGCAAUAAUGUUUACCGUUGACAUCAGUUUAGUUAAUGUGUCAAAAUGUCAAAUUACUGAUUUGCUGAAUUAUGACAUUAGGGCCAUUUAUACGUGACAAAAUAAGUCGCGACUUACAUAAGACGCGACUUAAAUAAGUGGAGUUAUCGCAUAAAUGGUUCUCUACGGCUUUGGUCUUAUUUAUUUGCUAUAGCUAUAAUGUUGUUUUGGUUGUUUUUGUUUUAAUAUGCAAGGCAUUAAAUUUUACGUUGUUUCAAGUUUCUGGCAUGUGUAGUUAGACUUUUUGUCCAAAAUUUCUUAUUUA